RNAcentral lists this ribosomal RNA (253 nucleotides) under Mediterraneibacter faecis JCM 15917. RNAcentral describes it as "[Ruminococcus] faecis JCM 15917 partial 16S ribosomal RNA". It matches the Rfam family "Bacterial small subunit ribosomal RNA", at positions 524 to 776 of the family's 1533-position model. Lineage: Bacteria; Bacillati; Bacillota; Clostridia; Lachnospirales; Lachnospiraceae. The record is from RNAcentral.
UACGUAUGGUGCAAGCGUUAUCCGGAUUUACUGGGUGUAAAGGGAGCGUAGACGGAGUGGCAAGUCUGAUGUGAAAACCCGGGGCUCAACCCCGGGACUGCAUUGGAAACUGUCAAUCUGGAGUACCGGAGAGGCAAGCGGAAUUCCUAGUGUAGCGGUGAAAUGCGUAGAUAUUAGGAGGAACACCAGUGGCGAAGGCGGCUUACUGGACGGUAACUGACGUUGAGGCUCGAAAGCGUGGGGAGCAAACAGG